AUCCCCCACACUGGUACUGAGGACACGGACCAGACUCCUACGGGAGGCAGCAGUGAGGAAUAUUGGACAGUGGGCGGAAGCCUGAUCCAGCCAUGCCGCGUGCAGGAAGACUGCCCUAUGGGUUGUAAACUGCUUUUGUACGGGAAGAAACACUCCUACGUGUAGGGGCUUGACGGUACCGUAAG
Molecule: ribosomal RNA, 185 nt
Filed under: uncultured bacterium
Lineage: Bacteria
Description: partial 16S ribosomal RNA
Rfam family: Bacterial small subunit ribosomal RNA
Source: RNAcentral